Long non-coding RNA from Numida meleagris (helmeted guineafowl), 1609 nucleotides. Lineage: Eukaryota; Metazoa; Chordata; Aves; Galliformes; Numididae. The record is from Ensembl.
GGGGGCAUCUGUGGGGCAGGAGGGGGGUCUGGUGGAAUCUGUGGGGCAGGAGAGGGAUCUGUGGGGCAGGAGGGGGGUCUGGUGGGAUCUGUGGGGCAGGAGAAAGAUCUAUGGGGGGAUCUGUGGGGCAGGAGAGGGAUCUGUGGGGCAGGAGGGGGUUCUGGUGGGAUGUGUGGGGCAGGAGAAAGAUCUAUGGGGAGCUCUGUGGGGCAGGAAGUGGACCUGGUGGGAUCUAUGGGGCAGGAGGGGGGGUCCGCUGGGAUCUAUGGGGCAGGAGGGAGGCUCUAUGGAGGAUCUGUGGGGCCGGAGGGGGGUCUAUGGGAGGAUCUAUGGGGCAGGAAGGGGGCCCGGGGACAUCUGUGGGGCAGGAAGGGGGUCUGGUGGAAUCUGUGGGGCAGAAGAGGGAUCUGUGGGGCAGGAGGAGGGUCUGGUGGGAUGUGUGGGGCAGGAGAAGGCUCUGUGGGGCAGGAGGGGAGGGUCUGGUGGGAUCUGUGGGGCAGAAGGAGGAUCUACGGGAGGAUCUAUGGGGCAGGAGGGAGGGUCUGGUGGGAUCUAUGGGGCAGGAGGGGGGGUCCGGUGGGAUCUAUGGGGCAGGAGGGAGGCUCUAUGGAGGAUCUGUGGGGCCGGAGGGGGCUCUGUGGGGCAGGAGGGGAGUCUAUGGGAGGAUCUAUGGGGCAGGAAGGGGGCCCCGGGACAUCUGUGGGGCAGGAGGGGGGUCUGGUGGGAUCUAUGGGGCAGGAGAAAGAUCUAUGGGGGGCUCUGUGGGGCAGGAGGAGGGUCUGGCGGGAUCUAUGGGGCAGGAGAAAGAUCUAUGGGGGGAUCUGUGGGGCAGGAAGGGGACCUGGUGGGAUCUAUGGGGCAGGAGGGGGAUCCGUGGGGGAAUGUGUGGGUCCCAGCGCCCCCCUUGUGCCCCACGGCAGCGGCUGUGGGCGCUGCGCUGGCUGCAGAGGGCGGCGGACGGAGCCCAGCGCAUCCAGGGGGAGCAGCCGCUGCUGGGUGAGCCCCACAACUGUGACCCAUAAGUGCGCCCCAUAACCGUGACCCAUAAGUGUGCCCCAUGACCCUGACCCAUAACUGCGACCCACAACUGUGACCCAUAAGUGCGCCCCAUAACUGUGACCCAUGACCGUGACCCAUAAGUGCGCCCCAUAACCGUGACCCAUAAUUGUGACCCAUAACCGUGACCCAUAGCUGCGCCCCAUGACCGUGACCCAUAACUGCGCCCCAUAACCGUGACCCAUAAGUGCGCCCCAUAACCGUGACCCAUAACCGUGACCCAUAAGUGCGCCCCAUAACCGUGACCCAUAAGUGCGCCCCAUAAGUGCGCCCCAUAACCGUGACCCAUAAGUGCGCCCCAUAACCAUGACCCAUAACCAUGACCCAUAACUGCGCCCCAUAACUGUGACCCAUAACCGUGACCCAUGACCCUGACCCAUAACUGUGACCCAUAACUGUGAGCCAUGACCGUGACCCAUAACUGCGCCCCAUGACCGUGACCCACAACUGCGCCCCAUAACCGUGACCCAUAACCGCGCCCCAUAACCGUGACCCAUAACCGCGCCCCAUAACCACCUCCCCCACCCCAUAACUCCAGUACGAACCCCAUAAC